UAGUUUUAUAUGAUAUUUUAAUUUAAAAAGAAACAUCUAAAACAGCAAUUAAAACUGCAGUUUUUUUUCUGUCAUAUGAUUCACUCAUGGUUAUAAUUCUCAACUUUUAAGAGCACUUAUACAAGAAACUACGAGUAGUUAAUAUAGACUGUUAGUUCAAAUGGUCAAAAUAUAGUAAACAGAUGUAUUUUAUUACCAUCUGGAAACUUUCCAAGAAUUUCGUCCUACAUGAAAUGUAAAUUGUUUCUAAGUUUAAGGUCAGCCACACCCACUUGUAAAGUUGAAGCUGUGUUGCUAAGCGAAAGUUUGAAAUUGAAAGGCAUGCUUAUAACUAAUAGAAAGAGCAGAUUUCCAGCUAUUUACUUAAUAGCCAAAGAAACAUUACCAAUAUAUGGAUUGGUACUAUGAAAUAGAAAAGAAGCUUAGUCCAUUGUUCUCUUGAGGUGUACAUAGCACUUGGCAAGUGUUUCUCACCUUGUUGUUCAUAUUCUGCCAUGGUUAUGCAUAAACCAUUACAAUGAAAUUUAGUUUGGACAUUGUGCCUGUUUGAUAAGAUUGGGUCAAGUUUGUUCUCACAUUGGUGAAUUGUAAUUUAUGGUUGAGGUUGCUGUGAAGAUGAUAUUGUCUGCAACAUAUACCUACAUUCCCUACCAGAGGCUAGCUUGCCUUAUCAGGAAUAAGUGAUUUAGAUUUUACAUUGCCUAGUCAUAAAUGAAAACCAAUUUACAAAAAUAUUGCUUGCAUGUAGCCAUCAACAGAGAAGAUAUUCUCAUGAUAUUGCACAAUGGUUCUGAAUUUUAAGUAAGUUCUUCGAUCAGAGUUAGUUUCUAAACACAAACUGCAGAAUCUUUACAAGUCAAUUAUCAUACCAGGAUUUACAACUACCAAAAACAGGAUCCAGCCAAAACUCUCACAGCAUGAAACUCUGACACAUGCUCCAUAAGACGUUUUUAUCAUGAAUGCAUGGAUCUCAAAGUUGUUCAAAAAAGUUGAUGUGCUCUGGAUGUAAUACUCUCUCCAAAAGAAAGCAAUUGAUGAAUUGAAAUUAUGAUAUAUUUUUUACACAAGUGUUCUGUACACACAUCAUACAACCUAUGUAAUUUGAGCUGGUUUGUGUGAAAUUCCUUUCAUCCUUUAUUUGAGAAUAUUAUCAUUUCUGACAUA
This is a long non-coding RNA of Limulus polyphemus (Atlantic horseshoe crab), 1164 nucleotides long. RefSeq lists it as uncharacterized. The transcript is spliced from 2 exons. The record is from RefSeq and is a predicted model, not a curated record. Lineage: Eukaryota; Metazoa; Arthropoda; Merostomata; Xiphosura; Limulidae.